RNAcentral lists this ribosomal RNA (423 nucleotides) under uncultured bacterium. Its description in RNAcentral is "partial 16S ribosomal RNA". It matches the Rfam family "Bacterial small subunit ribosomal RNA", at positions 354 to 796 of the family's 1533-position model. The record is from RNAcentral.
GUGGGGAAUAUUGGACAAUGGGCGCAAGCCUGAUCCAGCCAUGCCGCGUGAGUGAUGAAGGCCCUAGGGUUGUAAAGCUCUUUCACCGGAGAAGAUAAUGACGGUAUCCGGAGAAGAAGCCCCGGCUAACUUCGUGCCAGCAGCCGCGGUAAUACGAAGGGGGCUAGCGUUGUUCGGAAUUACUGGGCGUAAAGCGCACGUAGGCGGAUAUUUAAGUCAGGGGUGAAAUCCCGGAGCUCAACUCCGGAACUGCCUUUGAUACUGGGUAUCUCGAGUAUGGAAGAGGUGAGUGGAAUUCCGAGUGUAGAGGUGAAAUUCGUAGAUAUUCGGAGGAACACCAGUGGCGAAGGCGGCUCACUGGUCCAUUACUGACGCUGAGGUGCGAAAGCGUGGGGAGCAAACAGGAUUAGAUACCUGUAGUCC